This 22-nucleotide microRNA is filed under the name Ciona intestinalis (vase tunicate). Its description in RNAcentral is "Cin-Mir-4081_3p* (star (passenger))". The record is from RNAcentral. Lineage: Eukaryota; Metazoa; Chordata; Ascidiacea; Phlebobranchia; Cionidae.
GUUCUGUAUAAGUUGAGCUGAA